GGGGGGGGGGGGGGGGGGGGGGGGGGGGGGGGGGGGGGGGGGGGGGGGGGGGGGGGGGCUCCUCGGAGGUUGGCGGCGGGGGGGGGCGGGACACGUGGGUCACCUCUCGAUGAGGCUGGGCUACCUGCGGGGGACAGGAGCCACUGCCGGAUCAGAUAUUCAAACGCAUGGUUCAAUAGUUAAAGCAGGUUUUGCUUUCACGUAUACUUGGAUCCGCGCCGCUUUAGCUACUGGGUACGGUAACGGCUUACCAAGGCAACGAUGCUUAGCCGACCGGCGAGGGUGAUCGGCCACACUGGAACUGAGACACGGUCCAGACUCCGACGGGAGGCAGCAGUAGGGAAUCUUCCGCAAUGGGCGAAAGCCUGACGGAGCAACGCCGCGUGAGUGAUGAAGGUCUUCGGAUCGUAAAACUCUGUUAUUAGGGAAGAACAAAUGUGUAAGUAACUAUGCACGUCUUGACGGUACCUAAUCAGAAAGCCACGGCUAACUACGUG
This 497-nucleotide ribosomal RNA is filed under the name uncultured bacterium. Its description in RNAcentral is "partial 16S ribosomal RNA". It matches the Rfam family "Bacterial small subunit ribosomal RNA", at positions 38 to 507 of the family's 1533-position model. The record is from RNAcentral.